GAGUUGUACAUCUAAAAUGCAGUCAAUUAUCUCUAUAAAAACGCAGCCAUGGCAAACAGCAUCACUAAAGUAAUCACUGAUUGAGAAAUUUUCGGAGCGCACAGCUGCGUUUCUUGCUCUGUCCUCAUGUCCUCUUCUAUCUAAUCAGCCUAUUUGGGACCCUUUCAGUCUUUGUAAAUAAUAAACCUGCACGUUAUCAGUUCUGAGACA
RNAcentral lists this long non-coding RNA (210 nucleotides) under Elaeis guineensis (African oil palm). RNAcentral's name for it is "long non-coding RNA (EGUI_LNC004588)". Lineage: Eukaryota; Viridiplantae; Streptophyta; Magnoliopsida; Arecales; Arecaceae. The record is from RNAcentral.